This 1479-nucleotide ribosomal RNA is filed under the name uncultured Bordetella sp. RNAcentral describes it as "partial 16S-23S ribosomal RNA intergenic spacer". It matches the Rfam family "Bacterial small subunit ribosomal RNA". Lineage: Bacteria; Pseudomonadati; Pseudomonadota; Betaproteobacteria; Burkholderiales; Alcaligenaceae. The record is from RNAcentral.
GGUUUGAUUCUGGCUCAGAUUGAACGCUGGCGGGGAUGCCUUUACACAUGCAAGUCGAACAGCGGCACGGACUUCGGUCUGGUGGCGAGUGGCGAACGGGUGAGUAAUGUCGGAACGUGCUAGUAGCGGGGGAUAACUACGCGAAGCGUAGCUAAUACCGCAUACGCCCUUCGGGGAAAGCAGGGGACCUUCGGGCCUCGCACUGUGGAAGCAGCCGAUAUCGGAUUAGCUAGUUAGUGGGAGCAACAGCUCACCAGAGCGACGAUCCGUAGCUGGUUUGAGAGGACGACCAGCCACACUGGGACUGAGACACGGCCCAGACUACGGGAGGGCGGCGGUGAAAUUUUGGACAAUGGGGAAGCCCUGGUCAGCCAUCCGCAUUGUGCGAUGAAGGCCUUCGGGUUGUAAAGCACUUUUGUAGAGAGAAAAACGGCACGGGAUAAUGCAAUGCAACUGGCGAGCUACCUGCAGAGAAUAAGCACCAAAAGCUAACACGUGUAGCGUAUUGCCCAUGAUAAUACACGUAGGGUGCAAGCGUUAAUCGGAAUUACAGGCGGCAAAGCGUGCGCAGGCGGUUCUGGAAAGAAAGAUGUUAAUCCCAGAGCUUAACAUGGAACUGCAUUUUUAACUACCGGGCUGAAAUCAUCCAGGAGGUGGAAUUCCGCGUGUAGCAGUGAAAUGCGUAGAUGUACGGAGGGCACCGAUGGCGAAAACAGCCUCCUGGGACAACACUGACUCCUUCUACUGGCAAUGGGAGCAAACAGGAUUAGGUACCCUGGUGGUCCACGCCCCCUAAGCAAUGUAGCUUCGCUGUUGGGGGCCUUCAGGCCUUGGUAUUAGCGCAGCUAACGCGUGAAGUUGACCGCCUGAGGAGUACAGUCCUCUUAGUCAAAACCAAAGGAAUUGACAGGGACCCGCCUGCGUGACGGAUGUGGAUUGAAUUCGAUACCUUGCGAAAAACCUUACCUACCCUUGACAUGUCUGGAAUCCCGAAGAAGAGAUUUGGGAGUGCUCGCAGAAGAACCGGAACACAGGUGCUGCAUGGCUGUCGUCAGCUCGUGUCGUGAGAUGUUGGGUUGAUCCGCAACGAGCGCAACCCUUAAUCAUUGGUUGCUACGAGGAGCACUCUAAUGAGACUGCCGGUGACAAACCCGGAGGAAGGUGAGGAUGACGUCAAGUCCUCAUGACCUUGGGUGGGCUUCACACGUCAUACAAUGGUCGGGACAGAGGGUCGCCAACCGCGAGGAAUACAAUCCCAGAAACCCGAUCAUGGUCGGAUGCUGAUCUGCAUCAAACUGCAUGAAGUCGGAAUCGCUAGUAACCGCGGAUCAGCAUGUCGCGGUGAAUACGUUCCCGGGUCUUGUACACCGCCCGUCACCUCAUGGGAGUGGGAUUGCAGAAGUAGUUAGCCUAACCGUAAGGAGGGCGAUUACCACGGUAGGAUUCAUGACGACUGGGGUGAAGUCAUCAACAAGGUAA